AGUGGGCAAGGGGCUAAGGGGAGGGGGGCCCAGUGCCAGCUGUUUAAAAGUGCCCCCGUGGCAGUGGCAGUGAGGAGGGGUGCCAGAGGUCCAGUCAAGUUAGUUGAGGAGCAGUGACACCUCCAAUCAUCCCCCAAACGGGCUGGUCCCCGUUUCCAGGUCACAAGGAGCCACACCUGGACCAGAACGCAGGAGAGGCAAGAGCACUGACUGGUGGAAGCCACCCCUGCAUCCCUGAUGCUAAAGGAACAAGCACCCCAGAGAGGGGCCUCCUGUGGACCCAAGGAGGGCUGGCAGCAGGGGCCCUGGACACAGAACUCCUCCCCAGAGCUUCCCGGCAGAAGACAGAGGUCCCCCCAGCUAAGCGACAUUUCCUGAAGACAGUGGGGAACAGAGAGGGAAAACAGCCCCUCCUCGGGCAGCAGCCCCCACAACUGCAGACAGCCAGAAGCAGGUAAUAUUCUGCCAGGUCAGACACUGGGGCCACCUGUUCAACUGCCUCCUUCGACAGAAAGAGAAAUGGAGCAACAGAGAGGAGAAGGGCUCGUGAGAAGUCUUCCGAGUGACCCCCCUGCUAACUGGAGACCCAGAGUGAGAAGAAGCCUCUCACGGGGUAAGUGGAACAGGAGAGCCAUCCACCGCCUUCUUAGUGAGGUCUCAUUGGAAGGAGACUGGGGAUCAGGGCUAAUGUAGCCUGCUUGCCCAGCUGGCACGCAAGACUCAAGGGAAGGGUGCCUGGGGCCAGGGAACCAGGAGGACACCCUUCCUGCAGUUCUGGCCUCCUCCCAAUCCAGCUGCACCACCUCCUCCUCCAGGAUGCCCUCCCAGGCCCCCCAGGGGCGAGAACCUCUUUGUCCUCUAAGCCCUUGGCAGUCCUUUCUCAGGCAGGCUGUUGUGCCACUGGUGCCACGCACCUUGCCAGGGGCAUUUUCCUUCUACCUUAGUACUGCUCUCCUCCAGGGUAAGGAUCACAUCAGAUUCAGACCUGUCUCCCCUUGGCACAUAGAAGCAGCACUCGGUUUGCUGAAAGGACAGGUGAAAUGCUUAGACCCUAUCCCCAAUCCCAGAGAACUGGUAAGUCAGUCAGUGGAUGAGACAUGCAGCAUGGAGUUUAAAAAUAAGGGUCCUGGGUCAGCUGUUCUGCUAGGAAUCCCAGCUGGGCUCCUAGCUCCAUGCCUUUGGAAAAUCCCCUGCCUAUGGAACCUUGGGGAUGCAUGAGGAUUAGCACAAUUAAAACAUUCAAUAAAUGACAAUUCUUAUUACCAUCAGCAUCACUAUGAUUUUUCUAGAUACUAAAGAACAGAACUAAGCAGCCUAUAGCCACAGAGAAUAUGGAGGCAAAUACUUUCCCCAGUCAAAGGUCUCAACCCCGACCCCGUGAAAGAGUUUCCCACAGGAGCGUGAGACUGCCUCCCAUCCACUUCCUGUUUCUACACCCAGGAGAGCUGCUAUCUUUGCGGCAAUAUUCUGAGUCCAGUGGGGUGUGCUGGAAAUAGCCAUCCAUUCCCCUGGUUCAAGCCAGGCUGUGACCUGGAACUGUCUCCUCCCCUUCCUGGCCUUCUAUGUGGAGGUGAUAAGGUUCCCCUGCCAAACGACCGACCGCCUGGCUGUUGUGCAGAUGAAAUGUGAGGGGCAGUUUUUCAAAAGGCAGGCGCUCAGGUGCCCCCUUUCUUAUUUUUGCCAUAUCUGCAAGCAAUUACAAUAUUUUAAAAUUUAAGAUGAGUCCUUUUUAAUACCUAAGUAUAAAUGGCUACUGUAAAAGGGAAACUAGAACACUAUCCAUGAUUAGGAAAUAAUACAGUUAAGACAAAAGACCAUAGAAGUGCAACAGUGUUCUUACUCUUUCCCCUGGUACUGUGGCUUGCAAGACCCUGGGCCUGAGGGAGAUAGACAGGAGCCAGAAAAGUGUCAGAGACAGGAUAGCACCCAACUGAGGCUCUCUUCCCCAGGGAAACAGAAGGCCUGCAAGCAGUCUUCCAAAGUUAGCACUCAGGCCACAUACUCCGCAAAAUCGCUUGCUCCCCUUGCUGUGCUGCGUUUAGGAUGCCAAGGGUGGUCAGGAGAAAGACCUUUGCAAAGAGUCCCACACCAAGGAAUGCAGGGGGCUGGCCUUACCAGCUUGCCUCCCAGCAGCAAAUGAUCGCUUUUUCAGGACAACCCUCCCCAGCUUCUUACUGAAAGCUCCAUGUUGGCCAAGACAAGUGUUUUUUCUGCAGGGCUAGUGGGAGACAUCUGAGAGCGGACUAGACAGGCUGUGGCCUGCCCAGGACCCCCCAAGGUGGAUCCUGAUGUUGGAAUCACUCCCCAGCCAAAUGAAGUUUGGAAAGAGUUCCUAUGCAAGAAUUACCAUAUUAGAGGAAGGCAGUUCUUUAGGUGGGAAUACCUCAGGAAGGGGCUGUCCCACUCAGCAGGCCACUGGGCCUGAUCUGCCGCAAGUGGCAGACCAGAGGAAAACACUCUUCAGAUAGGGGCCUGAUUUCAAAUUUCUGCCAGAGGCCUAAGAGACACUAUUUUUUACGGAGGUAUAUGUGUUUUCCUGCUCUCUCCCAGCCGGAGAAAAGGCUGCCAAGAUGGCAGUAUAUGUCAUCCAGCAUUAAGGCCACCACAGAUGGCAUCAGCAAUGCAGGAGGGUGCUCCGGGGGUGCCCUGAGAUCUUGGUAGGGCAGGAGAAGUGUAGGCAGGGCUCUGCCUGCCCACUCAGAGUUUCCCACCCAAGCCAUGUCUUGAGAGGAAAAUGAAUUAUUUACAUGGCCAAUCAUCUACCAAGUGGCAUUCUCUGGGGCCCACUAUGACGUACAAAGGUCUCCACAAGGCCGAGGGACCCCACCAUUAACAAGUGUGGGUACUGUCCUCAGGGAACUGGAGAUCUACCCCAAGUCAGACCCAGAUGUAAAUAGCUUUGACAAUGGAGAGAAUGUGAUCGAAGAAUACGAUUCAGCCACUCAGACAAUGUAUGUUACAUAUCUACCAUCACAAGUGUGGUAAAGGACUAGAAAGAGGGCACAGAAUGUGUACAGACAUGGACCAAGGUCUCCUGGUGUCUGAGGGAGUCAGGGAGAGCUUCACAGAAGAAGAGGCCAUUUGAGUAGAGACUCAGCCCACCAAGAGGAGACAGGCAGGAGAAUCAUGGGGAGCAGUUUGGUACCUGGGAGCCCUGAGGUGGGGGGCACAGGGCUCCCUGGAGGAGAAAGGGGGCAAGGGCCCAAGAGGAAGAGGCCAGAUGGGGUGGACCUCGUAGCUUUUGGUGACGGUUUCAGAAUUUAGCCAGAGAGCAGUGGGAGACCUUUCAGCAUCUUAAGCCUGGGUGAGACAUAGGCAUAUUUGCAUUUUGAGAAAUCACUGUGUGAGGAUGGCUGGGAAAUUACUGGGAGUAGAAGCAGGGAGACCAGGUAGGAGACCAAAGCAAACAUUUACUGAUUAAAAUAUAAAGUACCACGAAUGUGCUGUUUGGCUGGGAUGCAUCAAGCAUAAAGAUAGGAUGUGGGGUCAAAAAGGUAGGCUGUCCUGUUGGCUGGCUCUAUUUACUGAUAUGUCUAGAAAAGUCAGCUCCACAGAGACAGCAGGUGAUGGGAGGCUGGGAGGGGUUAUUUGGUGAGAGGGUUCUUUUGGAGCAAUGAAAUGUUCUAACAUGGACUGUGGUGAUGGUGACACCACUUUGUGAAAGGAUUAAAAACCAUUUCAUUGUACAUUUUAACUGGGUGAAUUAUAGCUCAAUAAAACUUAAAAAAAAAAAAAAAAAAAACGAAAGAAAGAAAGAAAAGGAAGGUUGAGGCUUGGUUCCAGAGGGCGCAAGUGCCAGGCUGAGGACAGGAAACACAUCCUGGGUAGUUACAGCAGUUUCUGGAGCAAGAGCUGGAGGGUGGAGCUGAGGCCCCUCUAACGCCCGUUCUCCUGCCUAGGGCGGACUCCCUGCCAUCAGCCCCCCACACAGAGCAGCGUGGCGCCCUGUCUCCCAGCCUGAGGUGCAGUGCUGCAUCUCUGGUCAGUUGGGAGUCUGAGAUGAAGCACUGUAGCUCAGGAAGGGAGAAGUUGUUCUGCGGCCGGCCGGCAGCCUGGGAGCGGUAAGUAGUAGAGGUGCUUGCAGGCACCAGGAAAGGACGGGAAUGUUUCCAGUCUCCAUCUUGUCAGCUGAGGAAGUUCCUGGACUCAAGUUCUACCUGUGCCACGAUCUGCUUUGUGAUUCUGGGCAAGUGCUGACUCCUCUGUGUACCCCAGUUUGCCCAGCUGUAAAACGAGGUGUUGCAGCACUCAGUGGUGGCUAUUACUCAGCAACCUGACUCUGCUUUCUCUUUCUGAACCCAGGGUGGACACUGCUAAUCAGUCAAGGCAUCCUUUCUUGAAGCAUUCAGUUGCUUCAGAAUCCUUCUCAACACCAAGUUCUAGAGAGCUAGAACCCAGUUUCAAAGCGGAAACCCAGUCAUCAUCUGUGCAUUGGACAAUUCCUAAAAACACUUUCAGUGCUAAAGAUAAAAGUCCUGGGCUUUGAGUUAGGUUCUUCACUCUUUGCGGUAUUGCCUAAACUAAUCCAGGCAUCUCCCAAAUACCUCACCUCUCUCAGGGGCUUCAGACAAGCAAGGAGCAGCACAGGAAAAUUACUGGGCUAAGCACAAUUUUAUUUUAUUUUUCAACAAGUUUGGGAGGUGGGCAGUGUUACUGACCCAUUUUCCAGAUAAGAAAACUGACGCUGUUAGGUAACUCACCCAAGAUCACACAUUGAUUGUGUUGAGCCAGAGUUGUAGCCUAAUCUGUCUGCCUUCAGAUCUAUGUUCUUUUUUUUUUUUAAGUGGGGGUACUGGGGAUUGAACCCAGGACCUCAUGAAUGCUAAGCAUGCACUGUACCACUGAGCUAUACUCCCCCUUCAGAUCCAUAUUCUUACUGACUUAGGAACCUGGGGAUGGGGGAGCAGGAGGAGAACAUAAUAAAUCCUGCUCCGGUCUUGUCCUUACAUCUUGGGUCACUUUUAGCAAAGACAGACCCAAACACUUUCCAUCAAUCCUAUGGACUUCCUUCCUCCUACUCCCCUUUCCCCAUAACUAUAUUUAUCUCACUUUAUCCCGUAGGUCCUAUACUGUCCCAUUUUAUAGUUGGGGAAAGCUGAGGUUAAGUGACUUGCUGGAGGUCACCAGCGAGGAAAUUGCCAAACAGAGACUGGGAACCAGAUCUGUCAGGUUAAUUUAGAGUAAAACCCUCCCUCUGGCUGAAGACUCAGAAUACACAGGACCCAUGGCAAUCAUGGGGAGGUGGGGGUGCGGGGAGUUACCAGAUGGUUUCUAGUUGACAACAUGGCCUUUGACUACAGGGAAGGUACUUUCCAGGACACUUGAAGUUCCAGUCACUACUACUCCUGGAGCAAUCUCAUCCACAUCCCAAGAUACAUGGCACCCACGCUGGCUUCUGCAGAUGGGGCUGGAUGCAGAAGAAAACUCCAGCUGGUCCUUGGGGACAUGGCAGGGCCUUGGUGCUGACGGCCACUCUCUCACCUUGUCCUCACGGUCCAGUUUUCCCAGGAAUCCCUUAGAUGCUAAGAUGGGGAUUCCUGGAAAUACUGUUCUUGAGGUCAUGGUUCAACAGCUGGAUUCGCCUCCUUCCCACCCCAGAGUUGUCCCUAUGGGGCUUUGGCUCAAGCACAGCAUGAGGUCAAGUGGAAGGCCAUGUGCUGGAGGUAAGAGGGUUGUGGACUGUGUUCUUGACCUUUAAGUUGCUUUUCUUUCCAUUUUCUCCAUUUCGUAACAUCCUGUGAGUCUGGAAUUGGAAGUUCACCACUGUCCUGCUCUUGGGAAAUGUGUCCAGGCACUCAGCUGAGCAGUGGUUGAACCAGGACACCAUGAAGCAUGUGUUCUGCCUCCACCCCACCCCUCACCCCACUUCCCAGCAUGCCAAGCAGUAGGGGUCACAAGUAUCAAAUCAAUUAUUAUCAAUAAACGAAUAAAUGUACAUGAAUUUAUUUUUUAAAGUUUACUAAAUUAGUUAGGUAAACUAAAAAAACACAAGUUUUCGUUUGAUUUGGAAUGCAGCCACAGAAAAAUGAAAAAUGUUUCCAUCGAGGUAGAGAAGACAAAAAAGCUUAGAGUGCCCUCUUGUGGUGAUGCCUGCCUCCACCCAGUCCAGGAACAGUAGGGCUCACUUCUAGACACACACACACACGCAUGCAAGCGCUGAGAUUCCUUUUGCCACCCCAGACCCUUCUGAGCCAGUGACUGCUUAAGUCCCAUUCAUCAUCUCAUUACCAAUAUUGCCUCCAUAACUUACUUUAAUUUGCAUCACCUGGCUUCAACCUCAAAGCUCCUGAAGGUCAGUGGGAUGGUGAGGUUCAGAGAGGUGAAGUGACUAGCCCGAGAUCAUCCAGAUAGCAUAAGGCUGAGCCAGAACUGAUUCCAAGUUCACUGGCUUAUGCCAAUUCCUUAGCCAAAAGUAAAAACAGCAAAAAUAAAAAAAUAAAAGGAAGACCAUCUAAAUAGACAUAGAAAAUGUUAACUGAUUAAAUGCCAGAGACCUGAAGUGGCCCAGGAGCAACACUAGAACUUUAAACAAACCUCCUCCUAGUGCUUUUCAUGAAGUCGGUAGAGACAGUAAGAGCCAUGGCUCCAGGAUCCUCACUUUGGGGUCUGAUCACCACGUUCCCACAGACCAGGUGGCUCCCACACAUGUCUUCCUAAGAGGCCACAUUGAAGAUGUUUAUGAAGUAUGAGUUCCCCCUCCCCCUCAUCCACAGAGACUGGAGCCAACCUGACCAAGAAGAAAUCUGAUUUGCUCCGAAUAAUACUAUUUUGUGGGGGUAGAGUUCAAGUGGUAGAGUGCAUGCUUAGCAUGCACAAGGUCCUAGGUUCGAUCCCCAGUACCUCCUCUAAAAAAAUAAUUUAAAAAACCUAAUUACCCCCCCCCAAAUACUAUCUUCCACUCACUGAGUAUUUACAACUUACAGAGCACUGUACUAAACACUUUCACAGGCACUGUCUCAUUCAAUCCUCACUACAACCCAGUGAGGUAGGUUCUGUCAUUUACUCCUUUUCAGACAAGGCAGCCAAGGCCCAGAGAGGUGAGAGAACUGCCUAAGAUCAUACAGCUAAUAAGUUGUGGAGCUGGGUCAAAUCAAGUCUGUGUUUAUGCUUGUUACCUGCCCUUGCCCCCUUUCUCCCAUUUGGCCUCGCCUGGCAGAUAGGGCUAUCCCUGUGACUUUCCCAGGGGGAGAGGGUAAAACAAGCCUUCAGUGAGACCAGAGUGGUUCCUCCUGUGUUCUGUGACUAUAAUAAAGUGCUGGACCCUU
Long non-coding RNA from Camelus dromedarius (Arabian camel), 7265 nucleotides. RefSeq lists it as uncharacterized. The record is from RefSeq and is a predicted model, not a curated record. The transcript has 3 exons. NCBI's taxonomy places the organism in Eukaryota, Metazoa, Chordata, Mammalia, Artiodactyla, Camelidae.